CAGCAGCCGCGGGAAUACGAAGGGGGCUAGCGUUGUUCGGAUUUACUGGGCGUAAAGGGCGCGUAGGCGGACUGAUAAGUCAGGGGUGAAAUCCCAAGGCUCAACCUUGGAACUGCCUUUGAUACUGUUUGUCUUGAGUUCGAGAGAGGUAAGCGGAACUGCGAGUGUAGAGGUGAAAUUCGUAGAUAUUCGCAAGAACACCAGUGGCGAAGGCGGCUUACUGGCUCGAAACUGACGCUGAGGCGCGAAAGCGUGGGGAGCAAACAGGAUUAGAUACCCCGGUAGUCCCUGUCUCUUAUAA
RNAcentral lists this ribosomal RNA (301 nucleotides) under uncultured bacterium. RNAcentral's name for it is "partial 16S ribosomal RNA". It matches the Rfam family "Bacterial small subunit ribosomal RNA", at positions 509 to 809 of the family's 1533-position model. The record is from RNAcentral.